This is a long non-coding RNA of Bombus pyrosoma, 495 nucleotides long. RefSeq lists it as uncharacterized. NCBI's taxonomy places the organism in Eukaryota, Metazoa, Arthropoda, Insecta, Hymenoptera, Apidae. The record is from RefSeq and is a predicted model, not a curated record. The transcript is spliced from 2 exons.
AAUAUAAAUUUAAACUUCCGAUUAAUACGGUAGUUGCUGCCACCAGAAAUAGUCUAAGGACUAUUUCGAAGAUAAAAUUUUCUUUUAUUUUAAUUUUUACUUAGUAUUAAAAGAAUUGCUGUGCUACGGGUGCGGUAACGUUACGGCGACUGGCUAUUAUAUUCCACGUUUUUGCUAACCUGCUAUGGGCAGGAGUACUAGCAUGGGAGAGGAUUAAAGUUAUUAAAAUAAAUAACCAAUAUUGGUGUUGGAGAUCGAGAGGGAUUCGAUUCGUCAAAUCCGCGCUUUAAUGAUCGGGUAUCGGCGAACACGAAGGUGAAAGCUGGGCUCGGGGCCUGAUUGAUUUUAAUUCUUCCGUCGGCUUUUCUCUUCUCUUUUAACUUCAACGGCGAUCAAUAUUUUGUACUAACGCUCGGCCCUCCCUUUGUUAAGAUAUCUUUUGUUCUUAUGAUUUUUUUUUGCUUUUGACAUUUAAUAUAAGCAAUAAUCUUGCAA